Cucurbita pepo subsp. pepo (vegetable marrow) is the source of this 1687-nucleotide non-coding RNA. The record is from RefSeq and is a predicted model, not a curated record. Lineage: Eukaryota; Viridiplantae; Streptophyta; Magnoliopsida; Cucurbitales; Cucurbitaceae.
UCACAAAACACCUGCAAAAGAGAAAGCACAAAGGAUAAGAAGGAGAGAGUGGAGUUUGGUGAGGUUUUCCGGCGAGACUCGACAACGAUAUCUCGUGACCGAAACAACCAAACUCGACGUUGAAACGUUUGAUUCACGACACAAGAAGGAUCCUCGACGACUGUACAUCGAUCUAAGGCGUUUUCAAUUCACAAGACCUCGGGAAAAGGAAGAAAAGAGGCGGAUAGAGAAGUAGAGGAAGAAAAAAAAACAGAAAUCGACAUCGGAAACGACGAACAGAGUAGAGAAAAGGUCGCUGCAAAAUCUUGUUGCGAGUCAGGUGAAGAAGAAAGGAUCCAACAAAUCCGCAUCCGAGUUAGAUUCCACCCAUGACCCGCCUUGCCAGCAACCAGCCUAGACGACGCAGCCCGCACCCGCAGUGGCUCACGUCUGCAAUCCACGACCUGUAACUCGCUAUGCCUACAACCCAUUAAACUGAAGCCUAAUCCAAGCCUCGGCCCAGUCCAUCUGUAGCAGUCCGCGCUUGUAGCAAUUCGAGAAGCCGAGGCCCAAAUUGCAGCCAACCUGUAACCCAUGAUCGCAGUCCAGCCUACAACUCGUGACUGAUGCCUCGACCUACGCCUUGAUCGAAGUCACCUGCACACCUGUUGCCCUCGUAUUGUGCCAUGUAGCACGCUUGCAGCAAAUGACUCCUUCAACUUGGUCAGCUUAGACGGCUCGGCUUGGCUAUCUGCAACCCUUUAGGCUUAUUCGGCUCAAGUACUCAAAUUUCAAACUAAUUUCUACCAUUUUGACCCUCCCAAACCAGUUUUCGACCUCAAGAAAUGAUUCCCAGUAAUACUUGGAGCAGCUUUCGAGAAACGAGAGCCAACGAUAAUAAUUUAGGGAGAACGCCGGCUAUGGCCAACAAACUAACUAGACGAUUAUGGGUUCAGGGGGUGCGAGCCGCCUGGAGAUUAACAAUUGCAAGUGUGGGUCGUGUGUAAGGAAGUAUUAUUCAUCCAAGUUAGUCCGAACUGGAGGCCACCCCUAGGAUGAGAUAGUGAUAGGUCCCUAGAGCAUUGUUCCAUGUGUUUGCAUUUCUUCACGACCCCUAUAGAUGGGACACUUACUAAGUAAUCUUCGAAAUACUCAGGCCGUGUGCUAAAUCAUUUUACAAGUAAAGUCAAGGCACCCAUGUACGGUUGACGGUGGCAUCACAAAGUAAAGACAAUGGAAUGUGCAGAAGAUAGAAACAUAUUUAAAUUCAAGGGGCGUCUUGCUUUUAUGUGAAAAAUGCAGUAGCACAAGGCUUGAGCAUUUUAAGAAUACUCACUAAGCGACCCCCUAUCGGGGUUCUGAUGUAAGAACUUGCGAAUGCAAUGACGGCAUCUAUCAUAACUGUUUAUUUUCCUACAGUACUAUUCUAACGGGUAGCUUGGAUGUGUGCCAUAUACUCUACACAUGGCCCAUACGUGCGAGUAUGGACCCACCAGUCGGUUCGCACACCCUUGACCCUUUUCCUUGUUGGGUGAGCAUGCUCUGGUAGCUCUCUAUGCCGGAUACCCGUUAGAAGUAGUAGUCGUUACGACAGUAUUAUGUAAAAUGUAAUGGUAGUUCUCCUGGCUAGUGGUGUACGUGCUCGUACCAUCGUGAAAGAAUACGGGUAUCCCUAAUAUUUUUCCAUUUUCAACAUUAUUAUAUAUAA